RNAcentral lists this ribosomal RNA (330 nucleotides) under uncultured bacterium. RNAcentral describes it as "bacterial SSU rRNA". It matches the Rfam family "Bacterial small subunit ribosomal RNA", at positions 568 to 898 of the family's 1533-position model. The record is from RNAcentral.
UGUGUAGGCGGUUUGGUAAGUCUGGUGUGAAAUCUCCCGGCUCAACUGGGAGGGUGCGCCGGAAACUGCCGGACUCGAGUGCGGGAGAGGAGAGUGGAAUUCCUGGUGUAGCGGUGAAAUGCGUAGAUAUCAGGAGGAACACCGGUGGUGUAGACGGCUCUCUGGACCGUAACUGACGCUGAAACACGAAAGCGUGGGUAGCAAACAGGAUUAGAUACCCUGGUAGUCCACGCCCUAAACGAUGCAUAUUUGGUGUAGGUCAUUCAGUUGAUCUGUGCCGGAGCUAACGCGUUAAAUAUGCCGCCUGGGGAGUACAGUCGCAAGGCUGAA